Molecule: ribosomal RNA, 295 nt
Filed under: uncultured bacterium
Lineage: Bacteria
Description: partial 16S ribosomal RNA
Rfam family: Bacterial small subunit ribosomal RNA
Source: RNAcentral
GGAUUAGAUACCCUGGUAGUCCACGCUGUAAACGAUGAAAGCUAUAUGUUGGUGGGUUAGCCCAUCAGUGUUGCAGCUAACGCUAUAAGCUUUCCGCCUGGGGAGUACGGUCGCAAGAUUAAAACUCAAAGGAAUUGACGGGGACCCGCACAAGCGGUGGAGUAUGUGGUUUAAUUCGAAGCAACGCGCAGAACCUUACCAGCUCUUGACUUGUAACACGUAGGCCUUAGAGAUAGGGCUGUCACUUUGGGUGGUGUUAACACAGGUGCUGCAUGGCUGUCGUCAGCUCGUGCUG